Trichomycterus rosablanca is the source of this 546-nucleotide long non-coding RNA. RefSeq lists it as uncharacterized. Lineage: Eukaryota; Metazoa; Chordata; Actinopteri; Siluriformes; Trichomycteridae. The transcript has 4 exons. The record is from RefSeq and is a predicted model, not a curated record.
GGUACCACGCUGGAAUUCACUGAGCUCCUGAGAGCGACCCGUUCUUUCACUAAUGUGUGUAGAAGCAGUCUGCAUGCCGAGGUGCUCGGUUUUAUUCACCUGUGGUCAUGGAAGUGAUUGGAACACCUGAAUUCAAUCAUUUGGAUGGACAGGAUGAACCUGAGAUAUUUCAUGUUUUAUCUGCUGCCUGCAGUCCUGACCUGCCCCCAAAAGAGAAUUUUGAAAGGAAAAAUGCGACAGCGACGAGGAGCUUGUACUGUUGCACAUGUUCAGACGUGUUUGCAGGAAGAACGAGACAAAAUAAAAGUCAAGUCAAUAAGCUUCAGUAUUCUUCUUCUUACCCCUGAUGUGGUGUCAGAAUCUUUCUGAAUUUCAGUGGUGGUGUCAUGGACUGGUCACUCUUCAUGGACAUACAGGUGGAUUCUGGGAAGUCUGAUCUCUGAUCCUGAAUCACACUGAGUGGUGGUGUCAUGGACUGGUCACUCUUCAUGGACAUACAGGUGGAUUCUGGGAAGUCUGAUCUCUGAUCCUGAAUCACACUGAGGU